GCUAAUAUCACUGCAGUACACGAUAGACCAUCAGCCCAAUAAACUGGGAGAUCAACCAGAGGUAUGAAUAGGCUAAUAUCACUGCAGUACACGAUAGACCAUCAGCCCAAUAAACUGGGAGAUCAACCAGAGGUAUGAAUAGGCUAAUAUCACUGCAGUACACGAUAGACCAUCAGCCCAAUAAACUGGGAGAUCAACCAGAGGUAUGAAUAGGCUAAUAUCACUGCAGUACACGAUAGACCAUCAGCCCACUAAACUGGGAGAUCAACCAGAGGUAUGAAUAGGCUAAUAUCACUGCAGUACACGAUAGACCAUCA
Molecule: long non-coding RNA, 317 nt
Filed under: Salmo salar (Atlantic salmon)
Lineage: Eukaryota; Metazoa; Chordata; Actinopteri; Salmoniformes; Salmonidae
Description: lncRNA (ENSSSAG00000106486.1)
Source: RNAcentral